UGGGGAAUAUUGGACAAUGGGGGCAACCCUGAUCCAGCCAUGCCGCGUGAGUGAUGAAGGCCUUCGGGUUGUAAAGCUCUUUUGGCGGGGACGAUGAUGACGGUACCCGCAGAAUAAGCCCCGGCUAACUUCGUGCCAGCAGCCGCGGUAAGACGAAGGGGGCUAGCGUUGUUCGGAAUUACUGGGCGUAAAGCGAGUGUAGGCGGUUGCCGUAGUCAGGUGUGAAAGCCUUGAGCUCAACUCAAGAAAUGCACUUGAUACUGGGUGACUAGAGGACCGGAGAGGAUAGUGGAAUUCCCAGUGUAGUGGUGAAAUACGUAGAGAUUGGGAAGAACACCAGUGGCGAAGGCGGCUAUCUGGACGGUUACUGACGCUAAGACUCGAAAGCGUGGGGAGCAAACAGG
RNAcentral lists this ribosomal RNA (404 nucleotides) under Caulobacter vibrioides. Its description in RNAcentral is "partial 16S ribosomal RNA". It matches the Rfam family "Bacterial small subunit ribosomal RNA", at positions 355 to 776 of the family's 1533-position model. The record is from RNAcentral. RNAcentral also lists the same sequence under 1 other name. Lineage: Bacteria; Pseudomonadati; Pseudomonadota; Alphaproteobacteria; Caulobacterales; Caulobacteraceae.